Molecule: ribosomal RNA, 483 nt
Filed under: uncultured marine bacterium
Lineage: Bacteria
Description: bacterial SSU rRNA
Rfam family: Bacterial small subunit ribosomal RNA
Source: RNAcentral
UGGGGAAUCUUAGACAAUGGGCGCAAGCCUGAUCUAGCCAUGCCGCGUGUGUGAUGAAGGUCUUAGGAUCGUAAAGCACUUUCGCCAGGGAUGAUAAUGACAGUACCUGGUAAAGAAACCCCGGCUAACUCCGUGCCAGCAGCCGCGGUAAUACGGAGGGGGUUAGCGUUGUUCGGAAUUACUGGGCGUAAAGCGUACGUAGGCGGAUUGGAAAGUUGGGGGUGAAAUCCCAGGGCUCAACCCUGGAACUGCCUCCAAAACUAUCAGUCUAGAGUUCGAGAGAGGUGAGUGGAAUUCCAAGUGUAGAGGUGAAAUUCGUAGAUAUUUGGAGGAACACCAGUGGCGAAGGCGGCUCACUGGCUCGAUACUGACGCUGAGGUACGAAAGUGUGGGGAGCAAACAGGAUUAGAUACCCUGGUAGUCCACACCGUAAACGAUGAAUGCCAGUCGUCGGGCAGUAUACUGUUCGGUGACACACCUAAC